GACAGAGGCCUCGAGCGUUAGGCGGAAUCACUGGGCUUAAAGCGUGUGUAGGCGGGCCCGUAAGUGUCUUGUGAAAUCCCACGGCUCAACCGUGGAACUGCUGGGCAUACUGCGGGUCUUGGGCCAACUAGGGGCAGCCGGAACAAGCGGUGGAGCGGUGAAAUGCGUAGAUAUCGUUUGGAACGCCAAUGGUGAAAACAAGUAGCUGGGGAUGUGCCGACGCUGAGACACGAAAGCCAGGGGAGCGAACGGG
Molecule: ribosomal RNA, 253 nt
Filed under: uncultured bacterium
Lineage: Bacteria
Description: partial 16S ribosomal RNA
Rfam family: Bacterial small subunit ribosomal RNA
Source: RNAcentral